Long non-coding RNA from Mirounga angustirostris (Northern elephant seal), 1546 nucleotides. RefSeq lists it as uncharacterized. The record is from RefSeq and is a predicted model, not a curated record. NCBI's taxonomy places the organism in Eukaryota, Metazoa, Chordata, Mammalia, Carnivora, Phocidae. The transcript has 3 exons.
CCGCCCCCGCCGCGCGCCCGCGCCGCGCGGCUGCAGCAGCCUUCGGGGCACGGCCCAACCCGCGACAGCUCCCUGGGGUCCGGGGAAGGUGCCCAGUCCCAACUGUUUACCCGUGGUCAACUGCUGUCCAGAAGCAGACGAUCCUCCUGACAUAUCAUCAGAAGGUCAUAUAGGAGCCUAACACCAGGUCACGAUGCUUACGUCAUUCCCCUCACUUCGUCUCAUCGUGUAGUCAUUUUAUCAUUUCACAUCAUCACAAGAAGAAAGUGCAAGUUCGUGAUGCUUCCAUCAGCCUGAGGCUGGGCCAUGUGAUCGGCUGGAGCUCCUGAGUGAGGCCUGCGAUUCUGAAGUUUAGACAUUCUGUGACUGGGAUUUCUCAGCUGACCAUCAAAAGAGCAUGGAGCACUGGGUGUUGUGCACAAACAAUGAAUCAUGGAACACUUCAUCUAAAACUAAUGAUGUAAUGUAUGGGGAUUAACAUAAGAAUAAAAAAUAAAUUAAUUAAUUUAAAAAUAAAUAAAUAAAUAAUAAAAAAAUAAAAAAAAAGAGCAGGGGCCGAGCAAAGCAGAUGAACUGGGGUGUGGAAUGGUUAAACUUGCAGGCCCAAAAUACCCAGGACAGAACCGGAGAUUCAUUCUAAACUUUAAGUCCCUGCAUUCCGUGGUCUCCUAUCUUUCCAUGAGGUACAGUGUUGCGUGAGGACUCUGUCAAGGAAAACAGAGGCGUGGCCUCAAUUACAACCGUUCCCUUUGCAGAGAAAGGGCUGCAGGACUUUUUUUUUUUUUUUAAUUAAGAGAGUGAGACUGGAAGAAAGAAAGCAGUGCUGAGCAGAGCUGGGCGACUGGGCACUCCAUUUUUCUGAAAUGAUGGUGCAGAUUCCUAAUGCCACUGGCCUCAAGACAGACUUAUUUGGGGGCGCCUGGGUGGCUCAGUUGGUUAAGCGACUGCCUUCGGCUCAGGUCAUGAUCCUGGAGUCCCGGGAUCGAGUCCCGCAUCGGGCUCCCUGCUCGGCAGGGAGUCUGCUUCUCCCUCUGACCCUCCUCCCUCUCAUGCUCUCUGUCUCUCAUUCUCUCUGUCUCAAAUAAAUAAAUAAAAUCUUAAAAAAAAAAAAAAAGACAGACUUACUUGUUAAACCAGAGACCUGCAGCCAUACUUCCCUCAUUGUUGAAAUGAAACACUGAAAGCUUCCUCUAAUGCAAAUCCCACGAAAGACAAUCCAAGUCAACUGCCCUAAAGAUUAUGGCUUAUAAACUUCUAGAGGCGAUAAGCUACACACACAUAUGUAAUAAAGUGUAUCUUGUAAGAGUGUGGGAGAGAGUGUGUGUGUGUGUGUAUGUGUGUGUGUUAGAGAGAGAGACACCUCAUAAUAGCAAAGCUUUCUGCAGGUUCAAAUUUCAGUAGAAGUCAAAACUUCAGUUCAUCUUUGAGCAGAGAUGAUUCCUCUGUUCUGGGGAAAUCUCUUGAACAGGCCUUUUGGUUAUGCAGGUGUGAAGCCUAGACCACUUGGAAACAAAGAUAUUUAGGGAAGAGCUGUGUAAUAACGGGC